AUCUACAGCCAUACCACCCUGAACGCGCCCGAUCUCGUCUGAUCUCAGAAGCUAAGCAGGGUCGGGCCUGGUUAGUACUUGGAUGGGAGACCUGUAGUCUUAAAAU
This 106-nucleotide ribosomal RNA is filed under the name Camelus bactrianus (Bactrian camel). The record is from RNAcentral. Lineage: Eukaryota; Metazoa; Chordata; Mammalia; Artiodactyla; Camelidae. RNAcentral also lists the same sequence under 1 other name.